This 236-nucleotide ribosomal RNA is filed under the name uncultured bacterium. Its description in RNAcentral is "partial 16S ribosomal RNA". It matches the Rfam family "Bacterial small subunit ribosomal RNA", at positions 100 to 334 of the family's 1533-position model. The record is from RNAcentral.
CGGGACGGGUGAGUAACGCGUGGGUAACCUGCCUCAUACAGGGGGAUAACAGUUAGAAAUGGCUGCUAAUACCGCAUAAGCGCACAGGACCGCAUGGUCUGGUGUGAAAAACUCCGGUGGUAUGAGAUGGACCCGCGUCUGAUUAGCUAGUUGGAGGGGUAACGGCCCACCAAGGCGACGAUCAGUAGCCGGCCUGAGAGGGUGAACGGCCACAUUGGGACUGAGACACGGCCCAG